UUUUUUUUUGUGGGAUUCGGAGGAGCACCUCUUCUCCAGACUACUCAAUGAUAAAGUAAAUAUAUCCAGACCGAGUCUUUUCAACCCGUCAUCCACAAUCUGCCCAGAGCAAACGAGGACUGCAGCAAUUCUUGGGGAGUCUGGAGCUGACCUACACACCGAAUUCGCGCCCCUCCUGCUGGAGAAGAUUGCAACAUUUAUGACCAGUCCCUGCCUCCCAUCCAAAAGCUUAUCGGACUGUCCGCAACCAAUAGUAUGCAAAGCUCGCUACAAGUGUAAGGUGGAUGUUAAAGAUCUCAUGGCAUUAUCUCAAUGAAGGACAGAAGACUUCUCUCUCUAGUGUCCGGCCAAUAUUCAUCACUCAUUCAGCAUCAGUGAACAGAUUAACUGGCCUGGGACUCAACAUCUCCCUUUGCAACUGGAUCCUUGACUUCCUAACCAACAGACCGCAAUCAGUCAGGAGAGGCAGCAACCCCUCCGCCAUGAUUCUCCUCAACACUGGUGCUCUACCAGGCUGCGUCCUCACGACUGCAUGGCCAGAUUCUGCUCCAACUGCAUCUACAAGUUUGCAGAUGACACCACCGUUGUGGGCCAUCUCUCAAAUACCAAUGAGUUGGAGUACAAGAAGAAAAGAGAGAGCCUAGUGACAUUGUGUCAUGACAACCUUUCCUUCAAAGUCAGCAAAACAAAAGAGCUGGUCAUUGAUUUCAGGAAGGAGGGGAGUUGCACAUGCUCCUGCUUACAUCAAUGGUGCUGAGGUUGAGAAGUAUUUGAGCUCAAACUUCCAAGGAGUGAACAUCACCAAUAGCCUUUCAUGGUCCAACCAUGUAGAUGCCAUAAUAAGAAAGCUCAGCAGCAGCUCUAGGAGGCUAAAGAAAUUUUGCAUCUCCCCUAUGACACUCACCAAUUUUUAAUCAAUGCACCAUAGAAAGCAUUCUAUCUGGAUGAAUCAUGGCUUGGUAUGGCAACUGCUCUGCCAUGACUGCAAGAAACUGAACAGAGUUGUGGACACAGCUCAGCACAUCAUGGAAACCAGCCUCCCCUCCAUGGACUCUGGCUGCACUUCUUGCUGCCUCAGUAAAGCACCCAGCGUAAUCAAAGACCCCACCCACCCCAGACACACUCUUCUCCCCCCUCCCAUCAGGCAGAAACAAAAGCCUGAAAGCACGUACCACCAGGCUCAAGAACAGCUUCUAUCCUACUGUUAUGGACUAUUGAAUGGUUCCCUCAUAUGAUAAGAUGGACCCUUGACCUCAAUCUACCAUGUUAUGACUUUGCACCUUACUGUCUACCUGCA
Long non-coding RNA from Pristis pectinata (smalltooth sawfish), 1297 nucleotides. RefSeq lists it as uncharacterized. NCBI's taxonomy places the organism in Eukaryota, Metazoa, Chordata, Chondrichthyes, Rhinopristiformes, Pristidae. The transcript is spliced from 4 exons. The record is from RefSeq and is a predicted model, not a curated record.